This is a small nucleolar RNA of Camellia sinensis, 78 nucleotides long. RefSeq annotates it as small nucleolar RNA R44/J54/Z268 family. Lineage: Eukaryota; Viridiplantae; Streptophyta; Magnoliopsida; Ericales; Theaceae. The record is from RefSeq and is a predicted model, not a curated record.
UGUGCAAGUGAUUAUAAAACAGACAGGGACAUCAGAAUUUCAAUGAUGAUUUGUCUUUGGGAAUCUCUAUGAUGCACA